CCUACGGGAGGCAGCAGUGGGGAAUAUUGCACAAUGGGCGAAAGCCUGAUGCAGCGACGCCGCGUGAGGGAUGACGGCCUUCGGGUUGUAAACCUCUUUCAGUAGGGAAGAAGCGAAAGUGACGGUACCUGCAGAAGAAGCGCCGGCUAACUACGUGCCAGCAGCCGCGGUAAUACGUAGGGCGCAAGCGUUAUCCGGAAUUAUUGGGCGUAAAGAGCUCGUAGGCGGUUUGUCGCGUCUGCCGUGAAAGUCCGGGGCUCAACUCCGGAUCUGCGGUGGGUACGGGCAGACUAGAGUGAUGUAGGGGAGACUGGAAUUCCUGGUGUAGCGGUGAAAUGCGCAGAUAUCAGGAGGAACACCGAUGGCGAAGGCAGGUCUCUGGGCAUUAACUGACGCUGAGGAGCGAAAGCAUGGGGAGCGAACAGGAUUAGAUACCCUGGUAGUCCAUGCCGUAAACGUUGGGCACUAGGUGUGGGGGACAUUCCACGUUUUCCGCGCCGUAGCUAACGCAUUAAGUGCCCCGCCUGGGGAGUCGGCCGCAAGGCUAAAACUCAAAUGAAUUGACGGCGNGAGACGUGCCGAGCGACGACGAGGGAGGAGG
This 601-nucleotide ribosomal RNA is filed under the name uncultured bacterium. RNAcentral describes it as "bacterial SSU rRNA". It matches the Rfam family "Bacterial small subunit ribosomal RNA", at positions 338 to 947 of the family's 1533-position model. The record is from RNAcentral.